Molecule: long non-coding RNA, 410 nt
Organism: Magnolia sinica
Lineage: Eukaryota; Viridiplantae; Streptophyta; Magnoliopsida; Magnoliales; Magnoliaceae
Exons: 2
Source: RefSeq, a predicted model, not a curated record
GUGGACAAGUAAUGGUUGAAUAUGCCAACUCGAAUUCUUAUAAUUCAGCUUUCUUUUGAUCUUCUAGAUAAGAUGCUCUCAACGAGUAGAAUGGAAGGCUGCAGUUGAAAGAGAUACAUCAGAUGCAGGUUAUCUGGAGCAGAUAGGGAGGACUCUCUUAAAGUGAUUCAAACAAAGAAACUUCGAACUUUAGAUGCCUCGCCUCUCUCAACAAGCCAGAGAUCUCAGUUCUGUUGCUUGGUCAUGCAUGAUGACAUGCUCUGUGGUCUGGGCCAUGCAUAAUGCAUACUUCACAAGGAGUGGAGCAUAGAGGAUUUUUUAUUUAUUUUUCAUGUAUUCGGACCAUUGUAAACUUAUUGUUGUAAAUAUAUAUAAUUUUUUAUUAUAAAGUUGUUCAAUAUUAAUUUUUA